This 245-nucleotide ribosomal RNA is filed under the name uncultured Acidobacterium sp. Its description in RNAcentral is "partial 16S ribosomal RNA". It matches the Rfam family "Bacterial small subunit ribosomal RNA", at positions 524 to 768 of the family's 1533-position model. The record is from RNAcentral. Lineage: Bacteria; Pseudomonadati; Acidobacteriota; Terriglobia; Terriglobales; Acidobacteriaceae.
UACAGAGGUGGCAAGCGUUGUUCGGAAUUACUGGGCGUAAAGGGCGCGUAGGCGGCCUUCUAAGUCGGACGUGAAAGCCCCAGGCUUAACCUGGGAACUGCGUCCGAUACUGGGAGGCUUGGAUUCGGGAGAGGGAUGUGGAAUUCCAGGUGUAGCGGUGAAAUGCGUAGAUAUCUGGAGGAACACCGGUGGCGAAGGCGGCAUCCUGGACCGAGAUCGACGCUGAGGCGCGAAAGCUAGGGGAG